GAGGGUAUAGCUCAGUGAUAAGAGUGCCUGCUUAGCAUGCAGGAGGUCCUGGUUCAAUCCCCGGUACCUCCA
This 72-nucleotide transfer RNA is filed under the name Camelus bactrianus (Bactrian camel). It matches the Rfam family "tRNA". From Rfam's summary of the family: Transfer RNA (tRNA) molecules are approximately 80 nucleotides in length. Their secondary structure includes four short double-helical elements and three loops (D, anti-codon, and T loops). Lineage: Eukaryota; Metazoa; Chordata; Mammalia; Artiodactyla; Camelidae. RNAcentral also lists the same sequence under 2 other names. The record is from Rfam by way of RNAcentral.